GAUGAACGCUGGCGGCGUGCCUAAUACAUGCAAGUCGAGCGAACGGACGAGAAGCUUGUUUCUCUGAUGUUAGCGGCGGACGGGUGAGUAACACGUGGAUACCCUACCUAUAAGACUGGGAUAACUUCGGGAAACCGGAGCUAAUACCGGAUAAUAUUUUGAACCGCAUGGUUCAAAAGUGAAAGACGGUCUUGCUGUCACUUAUAGAUGGAUCCGCGCUGCAUUAGCUAGUUGGUAAGGUAACGGCUUACCAAGGCAACGAUGCAUAGCCGACGUGAGAGGGUGAUAGGCCACACUGGAGCGGAGACGCGGUCCAGACUCCUACGGGAGGCAGCAGUAGGGAAUGUUACGCAGUGGGCGGAAGCAUGACGGAGCAGCGCCGCGUGAGAGAUGAAGGUCUUCGGAGAGUGAAACUCUGUUAUGAGGGAAGAACAUAUGUGAAAGUAACUGUGCAGAUCGUGACGGUACCUGAACAGAAAGCAACGGCUAACUACGUG
RNAcentral lists this ribosomal RNA (497 nucleotides) under uncultured bacterium. Its description in RNAcentral is "partial 16S ribosomal RNA". It matches the Rfam family "Bacterial small subunit ribosomal RNA", at positions 28 to 507 of the family's 1533-position model. The record is from RNAcentral.